UCAGAAUGAACGCUGGCGGCGUGCGUAACACAUGCAAGUCGAACGAGAAAUUCCGGGCUUGCUCGGGAGAGUAAAGUGGCGAACGGGUGAGUAACGCGUGGGUAACCUGCCCCUGAAUCUGGAAUAACUUCGCGAAAGCGAGGCUAAUACCGGAUAUUGUCCCAGGGACUAUGGUCCUUGUGAUGAAAGAUGACCUCUUCACGAAAGUUGUCGUUCAGGGAGGGGCCCGCGUACCAUUAGCUAGUUGGUAGGGUAAUGGCCUACCAAGGCGAUGAUGGUUAGCUGGUCUGAGAGGAUGACCAGCCACACUGGCACUGAAACACGGGCCAGACUCCUACGGGAGGCAGCAGUGAGGAAUUUUGCGCAAUAGGGGAAACCCUGACGCAGCAACGCCGCGUGAGCGAAGAAGGCCCUCGGGUCGUAAAGCUCUGUCAAGUGGGAAAAAAGCUUACUGGUGAAUAGCCAGGAAGACUGAUGGUACCAUUGAAGGAAGCACCGGCUAACUCCGUGCCAGCAGCCGCGGUAA
This 526-nucleotide ribosomal RNA is filed under the name uncultured Desulfobacteraceae bacterium. Its description in RNAcentral is "bacterial SSU rRNA". It matches the Rfam family "Bacterial small subunit ribosomal RNA", at positions 24 to 523 of the family's 1533-position model. Lineage: Bacteria; Pseudomonadati; Thermodesulfobacteriota; Desulfobacteria; Desulfobacterales; Desulfobacteraceae. The record is from RNAcentral.